This 731-nucleotide long non-coding RNA is filed under the name Homo sapiens (human). Its description in RNAcentral is "HSALNT0343461". Lineage: Eukaryota; Metazoa; Chordata; Mammalia; Primates; Hominidae. The record is from RNAcentral.
AUUAUUUAAUUUUGGUCCAAAUCUGUGUUGUCCAAUAUGGUAGCAACUGGCCACAUGCCACAUGUAGCUAUUAGAUGUUUGAAAUAUGAGUAGUACUAACGGAAAUGUGCUCUGCAGAAAAUACCAUAAUUCAAAAAAAAAUUUAAAAAGACUAAAAUACUAGGUUUUAUAUGACUCACAUUUUGAAGUGAUAAUAUUUUGGAUAUAUUGAAUUAAAACAUGUUAUUAAAAUUAAUAUCACUUGUUUUUGUUUACUUUUUUAUGUGACUGCUGGAAAAUUUAAAAUUAGUUGUAGCUUGCAUUAUACUUCUUUUGGAUGGAACUGAUCUAUAUCAUCACAUACAAUCAACAUUCUUAGUUAUCCAGUACCUAGCAUUCUGUAGUUCUUGAACUUUCUGGUCCUCCUAUGGAUCAAUUCAUAUACAUUUGUAUUGUUUUAAGAAUUUGAUUCUUUGAUUCAUCAAAUAUUUAUUGACUGCCUACCAUGUGUCAGACAGUAUUGUAGGUAUUGGUGAUACAGUAGUGAACAAAACGAACUAAACUCUCUGCCUUCAUGGAGAUGAGAGAAAUUACAUGUUUCUCCCAAUGCAUGUGUUAGAGAGAUUUCAAGUUAUUUUUCUGAAAUGGCCUACUAGAUUUAUGACAUUUAAGACCACCACCUGUGUGUGUUAGGGGUGGAGGUGUAGUGCUUCCCUCCUAAGAUGAUUUCAUAGAAUUGUGUUGUGGAAGAG